Unclassified non-coding RNA from Pongo abelii (Sumatran orangutan), 148 nucleotides. It matches the Rfam family "Metazoan signal recognition particle RNA". From Rfam's summary of the family: The signal recognition particle (SRP) is a universally conserved ribonucleoprotein. It is involved in the co-translational targeting of proteins to membranes. The record is from Ensembl. Lineage: Eukaryota; Metazoa; Chordata; Mammalia; Primates; Hominidae.
GCCAGGUGUGGUGGUGCACACCUGUAGUCCCAGCUACUCCGGAGGCUGAGGUGGGAGGAUUGCUUGAGCCCAGGUAUUUGAGGCUGCAGUGAGCCAUGCGCAUGCUACUGCACUCCAGCUUGGGUGACAGAGUGAGACCCUGUCUCUA